GUCUCUGUGGCUCAGUCGGUAGAGCGUUGGUCUCAUAUUACUCUGAUUAGUAUGACUCUGUCUGUAGACGGAGAUAUCCAAAGGUCGCAAGUUCGAGCCUUGCCAGGGACA
Molecule: transfer RNA, 111 nt
Filed under: Colletotrichum chlorophyti
Lineage: Eukaryota; Fungi; Ascomycota; Sordariomycetes; Glomerellales; Glomerellaceae
Rfam family: tRNA
About the family: Transfer RNA (tRNA) molecules are approximately 80 nucleotides in length.
Source: Rfam by way of RNAcentral